Molecule: ribosomal RNA, 647 nt
Filed under: fungal endophyte
Lineage: Eukaryota; Fungi
Description: eukaryotic LSU rRNA
Rfam family: 5.8S ribosomal RNA (bases 202-355)
Source: RNAcentral
GUUGGUGACAGCGGAGGGAUCAUUAAAGAGUUCUAUAACUCCCAAACCCAUGUGAACAUACCUAACGUUGCCUCGGCAGGUCGCACCUACCUUGUAGCACCCUACCCUGUAGGGCCUACCCGGGAGAUGCGGGUAAGCCUGCCGGCGGCCCACCAAACUCUGUUUGAUAUUGAAUUCUGAACAUAUAACUAAAUAAGUUAAAACUUUCAACAACGGAUCUCUUGGUUCUGGCAUCGAUGAAGAACGCAGCGAAAUGCGAUAAGUAAUGUGAAUUGCAGAAUUCAGUGAAUCAUCGAAUCUUUGAACGCAUAUUGCGCCCAUUAGUAUUCUAGUGGGCAGGACCGUUCGAGCGUCAUUUCGACCCUUAAGCCUUAGUUGCUUAGUGUUGGGAGCCUACGGCAACGUAGCUCCUCAAAGUUAGUGGCGGAGUUGGUUCACACUCUAGACGUAGUAAUUUUUUAUCUCGCCUAUUAGUUGGACUGAUCCCCUGCCGUAAAACCCCCAACUUAUCAAGGUUGACCUCGAAUCGGUUCAGACAAACUCGCUAAAUUGAAGCAUCUUAGUCAGCGAAGGAAAAGAAACCAACAGGGAUUGCCCUAGUAACGGCGAGUGAAGCGGCAACAGCUCAAAUUUGAAAUCUGGCCCUC